GUGCCAGCAGCCGCGGUAAUACGUAGGGUGCGAGCGUUGUCCGGAAUUAUUGGGCGUAAAGAGCUCGUAGGCGGCGUGUCACGUCGGAUGUGAAAGCCCGGGGCUUAACCCUGGGUCUGCAUUCGAUACGGGCAGGCUAGAGUUCGGUAGGGGAGAUCGGAAUUCCUGGUGUAGCGGUGAAAUGCGCAGAUAUCAGGAGGAACACCGGUGGCGAAGGCGGAUCUCUGGGCCGAUACUGACGCUGAGGAGCGAAAGCGUGGGGAGCGAACAGGAUUAGAUACCCUGGUAGUCC
RNAcentral lists this ribosomal RNA (292 nucleotides) under uncultured microorganism. RNAcentral describes it as "partial 16S ribosomal RNA". It matches the Rfam family "Bacterial small subunit ribosomal RNA", at positions 505 to 796 of the family's 1533-position model. The record is from RNAcentral.